This is a long non-coding RNA of Carcharodon carcharias (great white shark), 743 nucleotides long. RefSeq lists it as uncharacterized. NCBI's taxonomy places the organism in Eukaryota, Metazoa, Chordata, Chondrichthyes, Lamniformes, Lamnidae. The record is from RefSeq and is a predicted model, not a curated record. The transcript is spliced from 3 exons.
AGCUGUAACCAUAGUCAGCUGGGAAGGCCUUGCAGAAACCAGAGAUUAAGUGCUACAAUGCUAAAAAUCAGCAGAUACCAGGUCAGUCAUCAGCCCCAGCAGCUACCAGCCCCAAGGGACAAGCGUUGAGCUCUGAGGGAGAAGAGGGGACCUCAGAGGGUGCGCCAUCCUGUCCUUGCUCUGCUUCUUUCAUCUGUUCAGAUACUUACACCUUGCAGGAAACUCGGCCCGCUAUUGAUGGACGGAGCAGACGACCACCAACUGGUUUCGCAACAUCAUGAAACUGAAUUUUGGCAUUCUCGCCAUAUUGACCGCUCACACUGCCGAAUACGCUCGACACCAGCGGACAUGGAAAGUUCCACCUUCUUCUGUGCGGGUAAAUCACCUGGACAUUUUACAAAUAAGAUCUUUUCCUAAAGUGUUGUUGAAGAUAUUCUCCUGAGGGUUGAUUUUAAUGUUUUCUAUUUUAAAAACAAAUAAGUGGGUUUGUUGUUAUUGGGCUGCUUUAUCGGUGAUAAGAGUCUUAAAAUAACAUAAAACACACAAAAAGGUAAUAACACUGUGCUGUGACAAUCUCACCAAAACCCAGUCUGAAUAAUAUCUGUGCGGAAUCAUUAAAUUCCAAAAUAUUGCAAAAGGGGGAUAUUUUGCCCACUAUUUUGUCUAUGUUGGCUCUUUGCUGGAACAAUGCUAAACUAAUCACACUGCCCUGCUCUCUUACCAUAACCUCGUAUCAUUCUCUG